RNAcentral lists this ribosomal RNA (700 nucleotides) under uncultured bacterium. RNAcentral describes it as "bacterial SSU rRNA". It matches the Rfam family "Bacterial small subunit ribosomal RNA", at positions 94 to 823 of the family's 1533-position model. The record is from RNAcentral.
AGCGGCGUAAGGGGCAGUAAUACCUGGGAACGUACCCGGAGGUCGGGGAUAGCUGCUGGAAACGGCGAGUAAUACCCGAUGAUCUUGGAAAAGCAAAGGCUUGCCGCCUUCGGAGCGGCCCAGGCGAUAUUAGCUAGUUGGUGAGGUAACGACUUACCAAGGCCAAGAUGUCUAGCGGGUGUGAGAGCACGACCCGCGCCACUGGCACUGAGACACUGGCCAGACACCUACGGGUGGCUGCAGUCGAGAAUCUUCGGCAAUGAGCGCAAGCUUGACCGAGCGACGCCGCGUGCGGGAUGAAGGCCUUCGGGUUGUAAACCGCUUUGGUCCGAGAGAAAGGGCAACUUGAUCGAUCGGAGAAACAAGGACGGGCUAAGUUCGUGCCAGCAGCCGCGGUAAGACGAACCGUCCAAACGUUAUUCGGAAUCACUGGGCUUAAAGGGCGCGUAGGCGGCCGAGCGGGUCGCGGGUGAAAUCCUCCAGCUUAACUGGAGAACUGCCCUCGAUACCACUGCGGCUCGAGGAAGGAAGGGGUCAUGGGAAUUGUCGGUGGAGCGGUGAAAUGCGUUGAUAUCGACAGGAACGCCUGUGGCGAAAGCGCACGACUGGUCCUUUUCUGACGCUGAGGCGCGAAAGCCAGGGGAGCAAACGGGAUUAGAUACCCCGGUAGUCCUGGCCUUAAACGAUGAGAACUAGGUAG